CGCUAAAUAUGACGAGCGACACAAAACAAGGCGAAGCAGCUUCCAAUUGAAUGGAAAUGGAGUUUACACUUCACUCACUUUGCUUCCACCCCAGCUUCCACCGGAUUUACCAGGCAGAAAAUAAUUAAGAACCGGAACCGGAAAGCUAACCGGGAUGCAGAUUAUCGCUUUCAACUUCCGACAUUCUUGAAGAUGUUUCGCAGGGCCAAUGUUGGACUUCAUCAUAGUUCAGAGCACCAGAUUUGGACAAACUUGACUCAACGGAUUGAAUUCAUCUAGUAUCCAGUGGAACGGAACUCAUUCUUACAAAUGACCCAGUCUAACGCUCUGGUUCGAUCUCCCAAUAUGGAAAAUCAACCCAUGACCGAUACGGCAUCAUUAGCUGAAUAUUUUCGAUUUACGGGUGUUCCGCCGAUUCGAAUGUUUCCACCACAGAUGCCUGUUUUGUUCCCCUUGUGUGUGAUGGAGGAUUUAUCAUGUACGUGAUCAACGUAGUGCAGCAACGACAUCAGCAUGUGUUGUUCAACCGAGUCUUCAACUCGGUGAUAGGAAUUCCGCAGUAUUCACAUAUUUGCCUCAGUUUUUCAACAACAAAUAGCGCAUCAAAUAAAAUAGUUCCCCAUUUUCCAAAUCAGUGACUGAUGUCCGGAAGGAAGCCACC
Ochlerotatus camptorhynchus is the source of this 661-nucleotide long non-coding RNA. RefSeq lists it as uncharacterized. The transcript is spliced from 3 exons. Lineage: Eukaryota; Metazoa; Arthropoda; Insecta; Diptera; Culicidae. The record is from RefSeq and is a predicted model, not a curated record.